Molecule: ribosomal RNA, 607 nt
Filed under: Panus strigellus
Lineage: Eukaryota; Fungi; Basidiomycota; Agaricomycetes; Polyporales; Panaceae
Description: eukaryotic LSU rRNA
Rfam family: 5.8S ribosomal RNA (bases 250-403)
Source: RNAcentral
GAGGAAGUAAAAGUCGUAACAAGGUUUCCGUAGGUGAACCUGCGGAAGGAUCAUUACUGAAUUCAUGACAAGGUUGUAGCUGGCCCCAUCCGGGCAUGUGCACGCCUUGCUCAUUCCAAUUCUACACCUCUGUGCACUUAACAUGGGUUGGUUGCGGCUCGUCUUUCGGGAUGGGCUUGACCGCCUGUGGUUUUCUACAAACUCAUAUAGUAAUAGAAUGUAAACCGCGUAUAAUAACGCAUCUUAUACAACUUUCAGCAACGGAUCUCUUGGCUCUCGCAUCGAUGAAGAACGCAGCGAAAUGCGAUAAGUAAUGUGAAUUGCAGAAUUCAGUGAAUCAUCGAAUCUUUGAACGCACCUUGCGCUCCUUGGUAUUCCGAGGAGCAUGCCUGUUUGAGUGUCAUGGUAUUCUCAACUCCCUAAAUCUUUGCGGAUUUUGGGUGAGUUGGAUGUGGAGGUGAUUGCUGGCGUGUGCGCAUUAGUUUGCGUUGUCGGCUCCUCUGAAAUAAAUUAGCGGAAAUGUUGCCGUGUCAACCUCAGUGUGAUAAUUGUCUACGCUGUUGUUGCUCAGCAAAAUAUAUGUUUCCGCUUCAAAUCGUCUUCGGAC